CCUACGGGUGGCAGCAGUGAGGAAUAUUGGUCAAUGGACGAGAGUCUGAACCAGCCAAGUAGCGUGAAGGAUGACUGCCCUAUGGGUUGUAAACUUCUUUUAUAUGGGAAUAAACUGUUCCACGUGUGGGAUUUUGUAUGUACCAUAUGAAUAAGGAUCGGCUAACUCCGUGCCAGCAGCCGCGGUAAUACGGAGGAUCCGAGCGUUAUCCGGAUUUAUUGGGUUUAAAGGUAGCGUAGGUGGAUGGUUAAGUCAGUUGUGAAAGUUUGCGGAUCAACCGUAAAAUUGCAGUUGAAACUGGCAGUCUGGAGUACAGUAGAGGUGGGCGGAAUUCGUGGUGUAGCGGUGAAAUGCUUAGAUAUCACGAAGAACUCCGAUUGCGAAGGCAGCUCACUGGACUGCAACUGACACUGAGGCUCGAAAGUGUGGGUAUCAAACAGGAUUAGAUACCCCUGUAGUC
RNAcentral lists this ribosomal RNA (460 nucleotides) under uncultured bacterium. RNAcentral describes it as "partial 16S ribosomal RNA". It matches the Rfam family "Bacterial small subunit ribosomal RNA", at positions 338 to 795 of the family's 1533-position model. The record is from RNAcentral.